UACAGAGCUAAGACCGUUUCAUUGUCUCUGUUAAUGUUUCAUUAAGAAUGAUUUCUUUAAUAGCUUUACACUUGACCCAUCCUUCAAAUUCAGGAAAAUGAAGGAUGACUUUUCGGCCACGUUUGGAGCAGCCUUCGAGCUGGGACAGCCUUCAAACGCGGUCUCCGAAGGAUGCAGCCCCUGAAUUGGGACACAGCUUACGUGUCUCAUUAGCUGCCCGGACUCCCACACCUGAUACUCAUUAGAAACAAACAAAACCUACAACAAGAGUUAUGUACUACUGCUUCCUUCCACAGGUCACAGCUCUGUGAGAGAGCAGAAGACUUAAUCCGAGUCCAGUAGGAGGUCUGAGACGUGAGCUUACCUGUAGGAGAGCUCAGCAGAUCGUCUCCAGCCCUGCGGGUGGUGCAGAUGUAGUUACCACUGUCAGAGACUGUGGGGUUUCUCAGAGUGAGGCUGAGGUCUCCAGUCUGCAGAGCGUCGACUCUCAUCGAUGUUCGACUGAAGCAGCGAUGGUUCUGAUCUUUAAGAUCUACUCCGCUCUGCAGACGUAUGUGGACUGUUGGGACCUUCAACUCAUCGCGGUCCCUCACUCCUGGUGUGGCACUCCUGGAAACAUCAGCUGGUACCUGACAGGACAGCAGGACAGACUCCGCCCUCUCAAACACCUCCACCCCUGGGGCAUACUGGGAGUCUGAGGACAGAAACAUGAAGCAGGUGUGA
Molecule: long non-coding RNA, 723 nt
Organism: Astatotilapia calliptera (eastern happy)
Lineage: Eukaryota; Metazoa; Chordata; Actinopteri; Cichliformes; Cichlidae
Source: Ensembl